Tetranychus urticae (two-spotted spider mite) is the source of this 5471-nucleotide non-coding RNA. The record is from RefSeq and is a predicted model, not a curated record. Lineage: Eukaryota; Metazoa; Arthropoda; Arachnida; Trombidiformes; Tetranychidae.
UUCAACUUUUUUUUAUUUUGCUUUUCCUUCCAUUGGGUGAGGUCAAGUCGACUUUAAAUCAUUUUUCUUAUCAGUAUUAUUACAACAAUCAAGACACAAUUAAGGGAUGGGCCAAGCCACAAAAUCUCAGUUUCUCUUGACGCAUUUUCUUCAUCUUCAUCCUUCUCAUCAUCGUAUUCAUCAUCUUUAACUUUUCCCUUUUACUUGAAAUGUACAAUUGUUUAACCAUUAACAACCGUUGGCUCGCAAUUGGAUCAUUGAUGACCAAUAUUCGGCCAAAAUUAAGACCAAGUGAAUAAUUUAACAUUCAAUUUUUACUGAAAAUAAUUUCGAGUUGUUCAUAACUAACAGGUGGUGCUCUCUAUUGUUGAAGUAAAAAGUUAAUGGUUGGUAACGGUUUAUUUGCCAUGGAAACUGUCAACAUGCUGUCAAUAUCUUUUGUCUUUUUUUAGUCUAUUAUUUCAAUGUUAAACUGUUAGCUUUUGUUAAUUUAAUCCGAUUAAAAUUUGAUUCAUCAAGUUCAUUAAAUUUUUCAACUUAAUGAUUUAAUCUUGAUGUAGAAACUGUAGUUACUUCUGCCCUGCAGUCAAAUUGAACCAUGAUUUGAUUAUAUUUGUCUCCAUCUUUUAACAACGUUAAUAUCGCGUUUGUUGAUUCAUGUUUCAUCUUGUGCUAUAUUCAAGUGAAAUGCUGUGAGAAUGUUCUCAUGAUAUUAAUCAGGCAAGUCACCGAAUUAUCCAGUGAUCGAAUAACAGUUCAAUUUAUUGGUUAUUGGAAGAAAAAUUUGUCCAUUUUAUGAAAAAUGUGAAACCUUUUGGCUCAUUAAUCAGGAUUUUAACCAAUUAUAUGAGGAACCUUGAGAUAAAUUUGUCGAAUCUUUGAUCGAGAUCAGAUGGAAUCGAUUAACAACCAGCUAAACAAGUGAUAAAGUUAAAUGAAUAAAGGAAAAAUGAGGUGCUGGUUUUUGUAUCAAUAAAAGCCAUGUUAUCAAUUCUGAGCCACUUCAAGAUAUUGUUUGGAAAAGCAUGAGAACUAAACUGGAAUCUGUUUUUGUGGUCACUUUGAGGAAUCAGAAGCAUUCAAAUUGCCCUUGAUCAAGGAUUGCCGUUACAAUGGACAAGCAACAAUAGCAACCUGAUUGGCUCAAUAUUAUUGUCUUCAUUCACUGAUCCCUUGAUGUUCAUCACAAUUUUUCAAGGCAACAUCCAUCUAUCAAACUGUUUGGCUAAUUGAAAUGCUUUACUGGCCAUUAAUGGUAAACUCUGUUAACAUCGCAACUUGAAUGUCAACAGGAUUUUUGAAUAUUCACUUGAUCAUUGAUCAUAUUUUAUAAUUGAAUUUAAAUCCAGUUAAUUGGAUUAAAAAAUCAGUUAACAACAGUUAAUUAGUACCUUAGUAGUGUAUGCUUAGUGGGUAGUCAGUAUCAUGUAAUAUCUUGAAGAAAUAUCAGAAAAGGAAAAAAGUUAUUAAGAAGAAGAGUGUAAAUGGAUAGAAGAAGAAGAAGAAGAAAAAAUUAACAGAUUUAUAUCAUCAUCUAUCAAUAAUGUUAGCAAAAAAAUAUCGGUAAUGUUAUUGAUUAUUAACAUUAUUGAUUAAAUUUAUUUGGAAAUUAGAACAAGGAUUGAGGCUGUUAUCAUGAAUCAUCAAUUGAAUGAAAGAGAGAGAGAGAAGAAAAUGAAUCCUGAGAUUUACUAUUACAAUCAAAAGUAAUUACAAUUAACCAUCAAACAUGAGGUAAAACAUUUUUAUUAAUAAAGAGCAGCAAAAAGUAAAAAGAAACACAUUUUUUCCGUAUCGAUUGAUAAUUAUUAAUCAAUGAUCAAUUGAAGGCAAAAUGGUUUGAUGAAGAUGAAGACGAUAUAUGCUGAUGAUGAAGGUGUAAGAGAUUUGGUUUUGAUUGUUGACUUUUAUUGACGAUUAUUGUAGCUGUAAGCAAUUUUAAUGUUGUAAAGUAACUUUAAAUUAACAACCCAAAUCACCCUUAGGUAAACAAUCAUCAUUACAUCAAGAUCAAUUUGAUUGUUGAGAUACUUUAAUAAAGUGUACAUUAUAAAUUAAACUUCAACAAUUUUCUUAGCUUAAACAGUUGACAGUAAUUUACACGUUUCUCUUCAACCAUCAUCUUUCUAAAUCAGAAUCAAUAAUCUGAUUUUUAUUUACUAUUAAACAUCAUGUACCAUGUUAUUGAGGCCUUUAAGGCAAUCAAUAUAUGGUUUUAAUGGUUAACAGCAAACGACAACAUCAAUAUCAACAACUUGAUUUGACUUAACAAACAAACAAAUCAGCAAAUCUGUAUUAUUAAAACAAACAAAUCAAAUGUGAUGUUGCUUGAAAGGUGAUAAUAAAUCACGCCAACUAAAAGAUGGGUUAUUAAUAUUUAAAUUUAUUAGCAUUAAUAAAGGUGGCGAUUAGCAUGGAAAGUCAACAAGAAGAAAAGUGAAUCUUUUUCUCAACAUCGUUUUUCAUCUAAACUCAACGUUGGCGGAUAAUUAACCUUUAAUUAUUCUAAUCAACUAAUUACCUGACCAAAUGGUUAUUCAAAUAAUCUAAACGUUCAACAUGAACGUUUACCCUGGAGAUGAAUUUAUUCCUAGAUUUGGAUUCAUUGAACAUUGAACAUCAACAUUUCCAAAGGAUGCUCAUGCUCAUCACUAUCAUGUUUAUGAUAAUGUUGAAGAUGAUGAUGAUUCUGAAGCUGAAUUUAUCCUAUAGAAUAGCGCAAACUCAUUCAAAGCUCCAGGCUACGAUAGAUUCAACUUUAUUAAUUUUAAUUCUGAGGAUGAGACUCGAAUCACGUUUUUUCAUUGAAUUGUUCAACAACAAAAUCAACAAAAUUACUUAACAAAAUCCAAGUGCAGUUGCUUUAAGCAAACGAUAGACUAACAAUGCUUUUCAAUCACAUUUUUUUCCUCUUCUUUUUGUCACAAAGAUAACUUUAUAUCAUUAUUCUUGGCUACAUGUUACACUUUAAUUAUGAUCAUUAACCUGAACAAUUCAAGUGAAUUUAGAAAAGGCUAGAAGCCGCAAUCAACAGGAUUAAUGGUCAUUAAAGGUUCCUAUUAUUGGUUAAAGACUUCAGAGACUUUUCAUUCAUUUCAAUUCUCGCAGGUUAUUUAACUAGCAACUCAUCAUUUUACCUCAUUGUCAACAUUGAUUCACAGAAGACCAAUGAAUCUCAAUCUUAAUCAAAAUUACAAUCAACCUUUCAACAUGUAAUCAACUCGAUUAACUUAUAGCUUUAAGGUAUUAAGCGCCAUCUAUUAUGUUUAAAAUUACUUUUAUAGCAUUUCUUUUUGUUGUCAGCAGAUUUUGUCUUUUCAUGUCGUCUGUUAAUUAUUUUGUUUUUUACUUGAUUGGCAAUAAAUUACAUUUUAAGUGAUUCAAUGGACUUGAAUAUUCAAUCAACGUAAUUUAGAUUGACUGUGCAACGUUUCUAGUGAUUGUGAUUGUUUAAACAAUAUCAAGCCAAUCAAUGGUAAAAGAUGUCGAUCUGGCUCUCGAUUGGAAGGGAAAGAGAGAGGCACAAGAAAAACGAUCAAGAUAAAUUAGGUGAUAGGUUUCGAUUGUAUUACGAUUUGGAUUCAGCUUUAUUCAAUAGCCUCAUCAUUUUAUGGCUUCUUGCUGUAAAUAUUUUCAACAUUGGUCCACAUUAACCUUUUUGGUAAACUGUUGACAAUUCUCAGGAUUGAGAGGACAAGAAAGGAAAUAGAAAUGACCACAAUCAAUUACGAAGAGGAAUCGCGAGGCUAAAAAAUAUAUCUACAUUAACAAAAGGACAUUCUUGACAAGUUCAUUUUUUUGGCUCUCCAAACAACAUUACUUUUGCUGCCCUUUUCUUUUGCUUCAUUGGCUUCACAAUCAUUCAGUUUAAGUCAUCAAAGAUCAGAAAAGUCGAUAAUCGCACAACUCUUGGAGCUUUUUUACUUCAUCUUCUUCACAAUUUCACUAUUUACUUCAAUUGGUUACCCAAAUCUGAUGAAACAUGAAACAAGGUCAAAGCCAUAUUUUCCUUUUCGUUUUGUCUUCUUGUUGCUUUUUCACGUUUCAUAUAAACGCAAAUUACAUGAUCAUUUUGCACUUCAAUAUCCUGAGUCAAUGUUCCGAAUCAACGCCUAAAUUGUAAACAUCCGUUCGUAUCAACAUUAUCAUACUUUUGAUAAUCAAACUAAUCAUUGUGAUUUCUUAUUCUUACAUUAACACUUCUUGGGCGUUCAGUGUUUAUCUUUACAUCCUUGCCUACAUGUAACCAAAACAUAUUGUCGUUCAUUUAGUCAAAGUGUGUCCUAUUUGGUUAAUUUGUUUCUGUUGAUCUUCAUUUCAAAUCAAUUAAAACAAAAGAAAUGCAUUUUUACACAAACCGAUAGAUGGCAUAAGACGGGAAUCAAGCGCUAAAAUUGAAUCCAAGUCAACUUACAACAAGAAGUUAAUUUUCCCAUUUUACCCACAAAAUCAGCCGAGUUUAUUAACAUCAAGAAAAUUUUGUUUCUUAAAUUGUCAAAAGAAAGUCAAAGUCAAAAACACAAGUCCAGGCGGACAAUUGAACAAGUCAAUCGCAUCAAAUUCAAGAUCAAUCAAACAUUGACAACAUUUUAAUGCAAAAAUUUCACGAUUUCCAGUCAUUUAGUAAUUCAAUUCACUAUUGUAGGUGUUGCUUGAUUUGAUUGAUUUUUUCCAUGCAAGGUUAAUUAGAAACAUUGCUUUAUCCGGACCAGUCCAACAAUUUAUCAAUUGAAGUCCAAAAAAAGGAAUCAUUUCAAUGUCUAUUUGUUUUUACAUUGAAACACUGAAAUCUCUUUACAACAUUUAAUGGGAUAAAAUUUGAUUGCGUGACUUUGACACUUUUACAUUAACAUUCACCUUAAAUACUCAUCAUUAAACAAGAAUCACAUGAGCAACACAUCAUUAUCCUCAUGAUUAAUCCCCAUGCGAAUGAGAAUCAAUGUCCAUUUAAUUAAUAUCAUUUUCUUUUGGCCAACAUUCAUCUAAUUGUCACAACAACAAAAAAGUGUCUUUAUUAUGUUAUACAAUUUAAUGUCGCGGUAAUACAAGGCAAAGGUUGGCAAGACACAAAAAGAAAGGUCAUUUUGACCCUAUUUUUGUUCAUCUGUCAAUACAAUCAAUCACAGAUUAUUUUGUGUUACUGUAUUUAAUAGGAAACAAUAAGAAGUCAAUGUGAUUGUCAAUUAACCUGAUUGAGGCUAAAUAAUUGAAUUGAAGAUGAAAGUGAAAUGAUGAACGGAACAAAAAAAAUAUGAAAAGAAGCAACAAAAAAAGGAUGAUAUGAGAUAUAAUAACAAUGGUAAUAACGAUAAUAAUGGCCAGUUGACAGUUUUCAUUGUAUACAAAUUGUCACAAGGGAACAACACAAUGAUAACUGUAAUCCAUCAAAUAAUCAAUGUUUACUGUUAACAUCAACCUGAUUGAGGGUGAAACAUUGUGAAUCUGUUUAUGCAACCUCACAACAUGAUAUU